Pelobates cultripes (western spadefoot toad) is the source of this 320-nucleotide non-coding RNA. The record is from the annotation of a GenBank genome assembly. Lineage: Eukaryota; Metazoa; Chordata; Amphibia; Anura; Pelobatidae.
GGCUGCUUGAACCUAUUUCUCAGACAACAGGAGUCAUACAUAUGUAUUGUUUGGUAUUUUGGGGGGAUUUUUGAUGGCAUUUAUUCACAAUUAUCCUUUUUUCAUAGAAAUGUAUAGUAACCUAUUAAACUCAGAUUAAAUGUUAGUACUUUAAGAAGAAUCAGGCUUACCCAUAUAUCUAGCAAAUGUAUACAGAAUUUUAAGUACGUGUUUGAAGAUGUGUUCUACAUUUGUACUUCUGGCAGUGGGCGAGUAGGAAUAUCUAAACCCUGAGUUUUAAUUGCUAGAAAUCAGACUUUUGUAUCAAACAAGGAUGCACC